Molecule: long non-coding RNA, 474 nt
Filed under: Scophthalmus maximus (turbot)
Lineage: Eukaryota; Metazoa; Chordata; Actinopteri; Pleuronectiformes; Scophthalmidae
Description: lncRNA (ENSSMAG00000023023.1)
Source: RNAcentral
AUGCAUAGGUCUGGGAGUCAAAGUUGUUGUCUGACUCUACAGCUUGACUACAGCAGAAUUUCUAACCCUCCAAAUUCCUCCUGGGCUGACAAAUGUCAACAAAGACCCAGAGAAACACCAAAGAGAGUGCACUGUCAACAGACGGCGGAGGAGGAGGACGGGCGGGGAUUCGUACUCAUCGGCCGCAGCGAUUGGGCGCGAGACUGGCCUCCUCUUCGCCAUUGGCUGCUCGCGGUGUCUCUCCGCAUCUGUUGUCGCCGCUUCCCGCGCCAUUCAGCGUGCACGCGCCAGGCAAGGCAGGGGACCAGACCCUCAGCCCCAGGAGUUCAAGAAGAGUCCACCAUCCAGAAGGCAGCAAGCACCAGUACAAAAAAGGAGAUCCAUGAUUUCUUGCAGCCUGUCAUGUCCUCAGCGUCCUUGACGCCCAAAUGUGUGGAGAGUUGGUGGUGCACUAGGAGGAAGAUGUCAUGCUAA